RNAcentral lists this ribosomal RNA (639 nucleotides) under Triticum aestivum (bread wheat). RNAcentral describes it as "partial small subunit ribosomal RNA". Lineage: Eukaryota; Viridiplantae; Streptophyta; Magnoliopsida; Poales; Poaceae. The record is from RNAcentral.
AUGACAAUAGCUCGUGCGAACAUUCGGCCUAGGGCCCGGACAUUUGGGGUCUUUCAUCGGGCUGGACAUCUGCCCCCAACCUUGUCACCCGGCACCUGUGCAUGCACAACCGGGCCAGAGGCUUCAUGUGGAUCUAGCUUCUUCACACCAACCCCACCAUUUCCAUGCACGAAAUUUGUCCAAUUUUGGCAAAAAAGAAUUCUUCUCCAAGGUCAUCUCCCCGAGAGUUCUUCCACGGAUCUCAGCAGCCAAAAAUCCGGCCCGACGCCUGGACAUCCGACACGUCGCAGCCAACACCUCCACCUUUCCCAAUUUUGGCCGUUUUCCCAACAUGAUGAGGACAUCAAUACCACAAUUACACUCAUGACCCCUGCUGUUACAUACAUGGGACUAAUCACUAGAGCUCGCGCACGCCAAUUAAAUUACCAGGUACUUUCGUUUUUUGGUAACGAUUCUAAUGUUCAUGAGAAUACGAUGCUGUCCAAAUUAGAUACAUUUGUUUUGCUUACAAAUGAAGUGCCUAGCUUACACAAGAGGGAUGAACAUUGGAGCAUGAUCAAGCAUGGAGAUGAUGACAUGCGCAAGGGGAACAAGAACAGAGUUUUUGGUGGAGUUUUCAGCAUUUUUGAGCCACCAUGA